RNAcentral lists this ribosomal RNA (323 nucleotides) under uncultured eukaryote. Its description in RNAcentral is "partial 18S ribosomal RNA". It matches the Rfam family "Eukaryotic small subunit ribosomal RNA", at positions 1470 to 1796 of the family's 1831-position model. The record is from RNAcentral.
CCCUUAGAUGUUCUGGGCCGCACGCGUGCUACACUGAACGGUUCAAUGGGUAAGGUAGUGCGAAAGCAUGACCUAAUCUCGAAAUCCGUUCGUGCUGGGGAUAGAAGCUUGCAAUUAUCCUUCUUGAACGAGGAAUACCUUGUAAGCGUGAGUCAUCAUCUCACGCUGAAUACGUCCCUGCCCUUUGUACACACCGCCCGUCGCUCCUACCGAUUGAGUGUUCCGGUGAGGCUUUGGGAGAAUGGCCUCAACAUGAGUUUAUCGUGUUUUGCCGUUUGAACUUAGCCAAACCUUAUCACUUAGAGGAAGGAGAAGUCGUAACA